This 72-nucleotide transfer RNA is filed under the name Eubacterium sp. Its description in RNAcentral is "tRNA-Gln". It matches the Rfam family "tRNA". From Rfam's summary of the family: Transfer RNA (tRNA) molecules are approximately 80 nucleotides in length. Their secondary structure includes four short double-helical elements and three loops (D, anti-codon, and T loops). Further hydrogen bonds mediate the characteristic L-shaped molecular structure. tRNAs have two regions of fundamental functional importance: the anti-codon, which is responsible for specific mRNA codon recognition, and the 3' end, to which the tRNAs corresponding amino acid is attached (by aminoacyl-tRNA synthetases). tRNAs cope with the degeneracy of the genetic code in two manners: having more than one tRNA (with a specific anti-codon) for a particular amino acid; and 'wobble' base-pairing, i.e. permitting non-standard base-pairing at the 3rd anti-codon position. The record is from RNAcentral. Lineage: Bacteria; Bacillati; Bacillota; Clostridia; Eubacteriales; Eubacteriaceae.
UGCUCCUUAGUGAAGCGGUAACACAGUUGGCUCUGACCCAAUAAUGCGAAGGUUCGAAUCCUUCAGGAGCAA